CCUUUUCUUUUCGUUUCUUAACGACAGAUCACCAUCCGUCUAUAAUAAUAACGAGCACACGCAAAUUCGAAUACGUUUUCUGAACGGUGCGUGCACGGUUGUGCGAAUAUUUGCGUGAUCGGAAGCAGCACACGACUGAAC
Long non-coding RNA from Frieseomelitta varia, 141 nucleotides. RefSeq lists it as uncharacterized. The record is from RefSeq and is a predicted model, not a curated record. The transcript has 4 exons. Lineage: Eukaryota; Metazoa; Arthropoda; Insecta; Hymenoptera; Apidae.